RNAcentral lists this long non-coding RNA (2194 nucleotides) under Homo sapiens (human). Its description in RNAcentral is "non-protein coding lnc-CHIC1-9:1". The record is from RNAcentral. Lineage: Eukaryota; Metazoa; Chordata; Mammalia; Primates; Hominidae.
GGCCUGAAUGUGAGCAUAGAUGUGGUGGUAGGUGCUGCAGGUUGCCCAUGCCUGAUCACAAGGGCCAGAUGCAUGGUGGCAACAGGGGUCAGGCUGUCUGCAUGUGUGUGUUUGUGUGUGUGUGCAUGCAGUAGUCCUGCAGAGAUCAGCCUUGAGUGUAUGUGGGGUCAAUUUCUGAGGUGAGGGGCUUUGGGGCUCUUUGCGAGCUCUAGGCUGAGCCUGACAGCCCCGUGCUUAAGACCAGCCCCAGGAUCUCCAGGCACAAAGUCAGUUCCCAUAGACCUAGGCUUCAGACUAGACCCUGUGAACCCAGGCUUUACACCAGCCCUAGCACCAGGUUAGCCUAGGUUGAUCCCAGUGGAAACAGGCUCCAGAAAACACAAGAUCCAGGCUUGUUCCAGCAGACGCAGGGUCAAGGCCCACUGUAGUAGACGCCAAUGGCGGGCUAGAUCCCAUGGACUGAGGCUUCAAGACUAUAUCUGCAGACAUAGGAUCCAGGCCAGGCCCUGUGGGCCCAGGACCCAGACCUGCACUAUGGACUCAGGGUCCAGGCCAGCCCCAGUGCCAAGCCAGUGCUUGUAGCUGGGAUUACAGGCAUGCACCACUACACCUGGCUAAUGUUGUAUUUUUAGUAGAGACGGGGUUUCUCCAUGUUGUUACAUAUGAGUAAAUUCUCUAAUUUAUCUGAACUAUUAAAUAACCCUAUGAUUCAGGUGAAGCAGGGAGGACCAAACAUGUCCAGAGAGGUUGUUGAAGAUCACAAGUAAGCCAAUAGCCGAUGGAACCCCAGCACUACUCCUAACUUCUAGUCCAAUUCUUUUUUUUAUGCUAAGCUGAUUUUCUUUUGGAAUUGAGUAUGACUUGUCUUCCCAAUGAGAUUAUGAACUCAUGCAGGGCAGGGAUCUUGUAUUACUGAUCUCUCUAUCCCCUAAAGCAGCAACCACAUUGUCUUGAAUGAGGCAAUGAUUGUGUGUGGUUAAUUGAUUUCUCAAAACGUAUAUUCUCUUUCUGCUCCUAACACUGGACACCGUUGAUCUGUAACAUUUAAGUGUCUGUGUUUAUUUCAAUAAGCCUUUGCUGAGUAUGACGAUAUGUUUUCAGCACACAGUGCUAGGCCCUGAUAUGUAAAUUAAAGUUAUAAGUAAGAUAGGGUCUCUGUACUCAGGGAGCUUAAGGUUUUGUUAGAGAUUUCUAAAAGCAAGAGAAAUAGUGGUUAAGGGGAAGGCCCUAGGACCCUGUCCUCUCUUUCUUACUUCAAGCAUCAGGUUGGAUUCAUUUCUGCAAGUUACUAUAACAGGACAACUUUUAAAUUUCUGUUAAAAUCAUUUUAUUUUUAGGAAUGAACUGCUUUAAAGCUAGGCUUUGUCCUUCCUAAUGGAUGGAGUAGGGGUAAGAUCAAGAGAAGACGUGGUCCAAACUCUGCAGUCUAGUUUCAUUAGGACAACUUGGUCAAAUUUACUAUGGAAAUAGGUUUAUUCUUCUGAGGGAAAAAUUCAACCCUGUUGUGGCUUUUCUAUCCAAAAGAGCUACCUAGAGUGAAUAUUUUGUGAGCAAUGGAUACAUUCUUCUCUAAGAGGUCCUCAAUGUCCUUUACAAAGCCAUUUCUCAGCAGUCUUCACUCUCUUUCUUACUCUGAUCAGGGUAAUUAACCAAGCCUUAACUGAACACUGAACCAGGCUUUGUUAUGGGAAAUACAGAGAUUGAAAAAUUUAGUCUCUUAAACCUCUUCAGAUGUAAGUGGAGAGAAAAGACUAAAGUGAAUAAAAACAGCUCCCACACAAAUCAGUUGUAUUCCAAGGGCAAAAUGAAUGGUAAUUGUAGUAAAUGUUACAGUUCAGAGAAGGGGAUGAUUUGUAUGGUCAAGAGAGGUUUCAAGACUAGGAUGGGUAAAAUUUAAAGGGGUGAAGAAGAAUGGGGUGGUGGCGGGGCAGAGAGACAAAGGCAGCCUAGGCAAAGGUAAAGAUAUACAGAAUGAGUAUAGUAGGACACUGUGGGGUUUUGGGUGAAAUAGAGACAAAGUAGUGAGAAAUGAAGCUGGAGCAGCCACAGACACACAGAAAUGGCUUGACUUCUAGGGUAAAGAGCUUGGACCUUAUCCAAGAAGCAAUGGGCUGCUAUUUGGUAUUUAUAGCCUCAGCUGAACUUUUACUUCUAUAUGUUCCAGCUGUCUACUGGGUUAUAAACUUUUUGAGCG